UCGAGAAUCUUCCGCAAUGGACGAAAGUCUGACGGAGCGACGCCGCGUGGUGGAUGAAGUCCUUAGGGACGUAAACACCUUUUAUGAGUGAAGAAGUUUAUUGACAUUAGCUCAUGAAUAAGGGGCUCCCAACUCUGUGCCAGCAGGAGCGGUAAUACAGAGGCCUCAAGCGUUAUCCGGAUUCACUGGGCGUAAAGGGUGCGUAGGCGGUGAUAUUAGUCGGGUGUAAAAUCCAAGGGCUCAACCUUUGGCUCGCAUUCGAAACGGUAUCACUAGAAGAUGUGAGAGGUGAAGAGAACUCUCGGUGUAGGGGUGAAAUCCGUUGAUAUCGAGGGGAAUACCAAAUGCGAAGGCACUUCACUGGCGCAAUCUUGACGCUGAGGCACGAAAGCGUGGGUAGCGAACGGGAUUAGAUACCCCGGUAGUCC
RNAcentral lists this ribosomal RNA (428 nucleotides) under uncultured prokaryote. Its description in RNAcentral is "bacterial SSU rRNA". It matches the Rfam family "Bacterial small subunit ribosomal RNA", at positions 355 to 796 of the family's 1533-position model. The record is from RNAcentral.